AACGCCUGGGCGCCGUGCUGUUUGUUGCUAGGAAACGCGCGUUCUGCGUCAGAGAAGGGGGGGGGGUUGUUUUGAAAUCAACCAAAUACACAUACACACAAAAACAAAACAAAACCGCAGCGCACAAACAACACGCACAUACAACCCAACGUUGGUGGUGAAAGACUUGGGAUUCUGCUUUUAGAGAAGCUGUUAUUCUACCAGAAGCUGUUACUCCAGUUCCUAUAAGCCCAGUAGCCAACAUGGCCUGUGGAAUCAGAGACUUUACAUAUACCAGCAAGUUUUGGGGAAUUUUUUUUUUGUAUGCAGCCCUUCAUCUGAACAGUGUAGUUCACAACAUAAACAUACAAAAUGCAAACACUAACACAUUGCGCCACUGAGGGCUAGUCUGUAAUUUUAAUAUAUGUGUUUAUGUAAAUACAAAUCUCCUUUGACUGGAGUUUGUGCUGAUUUGGGGGGAGGGGGGGCAGGCCUCCACAAGUAACAGAAAAAAGACAAAACAAGCACCACCAACUAAUAAACGUUUAAAUUAUGAGUGAUAACCUAUUCAGGAUUUCCUGAUAGACAUAGUUGCCUUGGUCCCAGGAAAGGGAAAUUUUCUGUGCCAGAUUUGCUGGUAAAUGAUCCCAAAAUUUCCAUGAAACUUAGUUCCAAGUGAGUUAAACUCAUGGAUUGCUGACUAUGAACACACCAGAAACCUAAGGAUGCUUGUUUAUUUGCUUUGGCAUUUGGUUGGUUGAAAAUCCUGGUAACUUCCUAGUCGGUGUGCAUACUUUUAAGAUUGUAUUGUAUGUCCUAGCACAUGGUGUUUUUGAAACUUGACAACAGCUUACAUGCAAAUCCUCGAACUCUUUCAACAUGGUUGGCAACUGGAGCUGCGGUAUAAGAUGCAACCUGGCUUUUCCUAUGUAGUUUCGGAUACGUAGCCGACACAGUUGGCAAAGAGAACAUGGAGUAGCUCUGGAAUGUUGUUUGGAAGAACUGCACUUAGAUCCUUGCAACAAUUCAAUCAACUUAACCUCUUUUGUGUCCAAAGCAAUAUUUUUUAAUCACCUGCUGUCAAUCUAAAAGAAGAUUGUCACCCUCCCUCAAAACGUGAUAAACACACAUACACAGUUUUGUUGGAUCUUUUAUUAUAGCAAUGUUCUUACAUUUUCUCAACAUAUUUAUUUUAAAAGGAUGAGUUCUGUUUAAUUAGAAUGAAAUCGAAAGGCAAGCCAGGAAAAAGGGCUUGGUGUGUUAACUAGGCUAUGCCUAGGACAGAUCCCUGAAAGGGAAGGAAGCUGAUGCAAUUUUGGAGACAUUUGUCUAUGCCUGUUAUAAUGAAUGUUGUUUAACAAUUUGGAUGUAUGUUUAAACACCAGUGGCUUUGCUUGAAAUACCAUUUAAUAUGAGCUUGUGCAGCUAA
Molecule: long non-coding RNA, 1408 nt
Organism: Podarcis raffonei (Aeolian wall lizard)
Lineage: Eukaryota; Metazoa; Chordata; Lepidosauria; Squamata; Lacertidae
Exons: 4
Source: RefSeq, a predicted model, not a curated record